RNAcentral lists this ribosomal RNA (207 nucleotides) under uncultured bacterium. RNAcentral's name for it is "partial 16S ribosomal RNA". It matches the Rfam family "Bacterial small subunit ribosomal RNA", at positions 568 to 774 of the family's 1533-position model. The record is from RNAcentral.
CGCGCAGGCGGCCAGGUAAGUCGAAUGUGAAAGCCCCCGGCUCGACUGGGGAGGGUCAUUCGAUACUGCUUGGCUUGAAGGUAGGAGAGGGAAGCGGAAUUUCAGGUGUAGUGGUGAAAUGCGUAGAUAUCUGAAGGAACACCAGUGGCGAAGGCGGCUUUCUGGCCUAUUCUUGACGCUGAGGCGCGAAAGCUAGGGGAGCGAACG